AUUGAACGCUGGCGGCAUGCCUUACACAUGCAAGUCGAACGGUAACAGGUCUUCGGAUGCUGACGAGUGGCGAACGGGUGAGUAAUACAUCGGAACGUGCCCGAUCGUGGGGGAUAACGAGGCGAAAGCUUUGCUAAUACCGCAUACGAUCUACGGAUGAAAGCGGGGGAUCUUCGGACCUCUCGCGGACGGAGCGGCCGAUGGCAGAUUAGGUAGUUGGUGGGAUAAAAGCUUACCAAGCCGACGAUCUGUAGCUGGUCUGAGAGGAUGAUCAGCCACACUGGGACUGAGACACGGCCCAGACUCCUACGGGAGGCAGCAGUGGGGAAUUUUGGACAAAGGGCGAAAGCCUGAUCCAGCCAUGCCGCGUGCAGGAUGAAGGCCUUCGGGUUGUAAACUGCUUUUGUACGGAACGAAAAGCCUCUUUCUAAUAAAGAGGGGUCAUGACGGUACCGUAAGAAUAAGCACCGGCUAACUACGUG
Molecule: ribosomal RNA, 482 nt
Filed under: uncultured bacterium
Lineage: Bacteria
Description: partial 16S ribosomal RNA
Rfam family: Bacterial small subunit ribosomal RNA
Source: RNAcentral